AAUCAACGCUGGCGGCGUGCCUAACACAUGCAAGUCGAGCGCGAAAGGGGGGUAACUCCCGAGUAGAGCGGCGAACGGGUGAGUAACGCGUGGGUGAUCUGCCUCCGAGUGGGGAAUAACACCGGGAAACUGGUGCUAAUACCGCAUGACAUCCUCGGGUCGCACCGAGGAUCAAAGCUGGGGACCGCAAGGCCUAGCGCCUGGAGAGGAGCCCGCGUCCGAUUAGCUAGUUGGCGGGGUAACGGCCCACCAAGGCGACGAUCGGUAGCC
Molecule: ribosomal RNA, 270 nt
Filed under: uncultured bacterium
Lineage: Bacteria
Description: partial 16S ribosomal RNA
Rfam family: Bacterial small subunit ribosomal RNA
Source: RNAcentral